UUAGAUUACCGGAGGUAAAGCACUGAAUGGGCUAGGGGCUGAUAAAGUUACUGAACCCUAUCAAACUCAGAAUGCCGGCUAAUUGAUGCAUAGCAGUCAGACUACGUGAGAUAAGUCUCGUGGUCAAAAGGGAAACAGCCCAGACCCACAGCUAAGGUCCCAAAUAAUUGCUAAGUGGAAAACGAUGUGAGAUUGCCCAGACAACCAGGAUGUUGGCUUAGAAGCAGCCACACAUUAAAAGAGUGCGUAAUAGCUCACUGGUCGAGUGGUCUUGCGCGGAAAAUAUAACGGGGCUAAGCAGUUAACCGAAGCUUGGGCUUGCCGAAGGCAGGGGUAGGGGAGCGUCGAAUACGGGGUGAAGUCGCAGCGAGAGCAGCGGUGGACUGUAUUCGAGUGAGAAUGCCGGAAUGAGUAGCGAGAAUUAUGUGGGAAUCAUAAUGGCCGAAAAUCUAAGGUUUCCUGGGGAAGGUUCGUCCGCCCAGGGUUAGCCGGGAGCUAAGGCGAGGCCGCGAGGCGUAGUCGAUGCACAUACGGUUGAAAUUCCGUAGCCACCUUAUCGAAUGAAAGCUGACACUUGGAAAUAGCGGGACCCGGAGAUUGGUAGAUCCGGGCGUAAGGGACCGAACACGAGUAGGGAAGUCCGCGAUGUUCUGAGGCGAGAAAAGGCGAAGGUAGGGUGCCCGUACCGCAAACCGACACAGGUAGAUGAGGAGAGAAUCCUAAGGCCAACGGGAGAAGGGUUGUUAAGGAACUCGGCAAAAUGACCCCGUAACUUCGGGAUAAGGGGAGCCUGCGCGAGCAGGCCGCAGAGAAUAGGCCCAAGCGACUGUUUACCAAAAACACAGGUCUAUGCUAAAUCGAAAGAUGACGUAUAUGGGCUGACGCCUGCCCGGUGCUGGAAGGUUAAGAGGAGAUGUCAGGCAACGAAGCAUUGAAUCGAAGCCCCAGUAAACGGCGGCCGUAACUAUAACGGUCCUAAGGUAGCGAAAUUCCUUGUCAGGUAAGUUCUGACCCGCACGAAUGGCGUAACGAUUUGGGCGCUGUCUCAACAGCCCACCCGGCGAAAUUGUUGUACUGGUGAAGAAGCCAGUUACCCGCAACUAGACGGAAAGACCCCAUGGAGCUUUACUGCAGCUUAAUACUGGAAUUCGGUAAUUCAUGUACAGGAUAGGUGGGAGACAUGGAAGUACGGUCGUCAGGUCGUAUGGAGUCGCCCUUGGGAUACCACUCUUGGAUUGCUGGGUUUCUAACCUGCGGCCGUGAAUCCGGUCGGGGGACACUGUUAGGCAGACAGUUUGACUGGGGCGGUCGCCUCCUAAAAGGUAACGGAGGCGCUCAAAGGUUGGCUCAGCACGGACGGAAAUCGUGCGGUGAGUGUAAACGUAUAAGCCAGCCUAACUGCGAGAGUGACGGCUCGAGCAGUAACGAAAGUUGGAGUUAGUGAUCCGGUGGUAUGUGAGUGGAAAUGCCAUCGCUCAACUAAUNCAAGCUACCCUGGGGAUAACAGGCUGUCUCCCCUUAACGUCCA
Molecule: ribosomal RNA, 1528 nt
Filed under: human gut metagenome
Description: bacterial LSU rRNA
Rfam family: Bacterial large subunit ribosomal RNA
Source: RNAcentral